This 497-nucleotide ribosomal RNA is filed under the name uncultured bacterium. RNAcentral's name for it is "partial 16S ribosomal RNA". It matches the Rfam family "Bacterial small subunit ribosomal RNA", at positions 28 to 507 of the family's 1533-position model. The record is from RNAcentral.
GAUGAACGCUGGCGGCGUGCCUAAUACAUGCAAGUCGAGCGAACAGACGAGGAGCUUGCUCCUCUGACGUUAGCGGCGGACGGGUGAGUAACACGUGGAUAACCUACCUAUAAGACUGGGAUAACUUCGGGAAACCGGAGCUAAUACCGGAUAAUAUAUUGAACCGCAUGGUUCAAUAGUGAAAGACGGUUUUGCUGUCACUUAUAGAUGGAUCCGCGCCGCAUUAGCUAGUUGGUAAGGUAACGGCUUACCAAGGCAACGAUGCGUAGCCGACCUGAGAGGGUGAUCGGCCACACUGGAACUGAGACACGGUCCAGACUCCUACGGGAGGCAGCAGUAGGGAAUCUUCCGCAAUGGGCGAAAUCUUGACGGAGCAACGCCGCGUGAGUGAUGAAGGUCUUCGGAUCGUAAAACUCUGUUAUUAGGGAAGAACAAAUGUGUAAGUAACUAUGCACGUCUUGACGGUACCUAAUCAGAAAGCCACGGCUAACUACGUG